This 339-nucleotide ribosomal RNA is filed under the name uncultured soil bacterium. Its description in RNAcentral is "bacterial SSU rRNA". It matches the Rfam family "Bacterial small subunit ribosomal RNA", at positions 26 to 364 of the family's 1533-position model. The record is from RNAcentral.
AGAUUGAACGCUGGCGGCAGGCCUAACACAUGCAAGUCGAGCGGUAGAGAGGUGCUUGCACCUCUUGAGAGCGGCGGACGGGUGAGUAAAGCCUAGGAAUCUGCCUGGUAGUGGGGGAUAACGCUCGGAAACGGACGCUAAUACCGCAUACGUCCUACGGGAGAAAGCAGGGGACCUUCGGGCCUUGCGCUAUCAGAUGAGCCUAGGUCGGAUUAGCUAGUUGGUGAGGUAAUGGCUCACCCAAGGCGACGAUCCGUAACUGGGUCUGAGAGGAUGAUCAGUCACACUGGAACUGAGACACGGUCCAGACUCCUACGGGAGGCAGCGAGUGGGGGAAUA